UUAAAUUGAAGAGUUUGAUCAUGGCUCAGAUUGAACGCUGGCGGCAGGCCUAACACAUGCAAGUCGAACGGUAACAGGAAGCAGCUUGCUGCUUUGCUGACGAGUGGCGGACGGGUGAGUAAUGUCUGGGAAACUGCCCGAUGGAGGGGGAUAACUACUGGAAACGGUAGCUAAUACCGCAUAACGUCGCAAGACCAAAGAGGGGGACCUUAGGGCCUCUUGCCAUCGGAUGUGCCCAGAUGGGAUUAGCUAGUAGGUGGGGUAACGGCUCACCUAGGCGACGAUCCCUAGCUGGUCUGAGAGGAUGACCAGCCACACUGGAACUGAGACACGGUCCAGACUCCUACGGGAGGCAGCAGUGGGGAAUAUUGCACAAUGGGCGCAAGCCUGAUGCAGCCAUGCCGCGUGUAUGAAGAAGGCCUUCGGGUUGUAAAGUACUUUCAGCGGGGAGGAAGGGAGUAAAGUUAAUACCUUUGCUCAUUGACGUUACCCGCAGAAGAAGCACCGGCUAACUCCGUGCCAGCAGCCGCGGUAAUACGGAGGGUGCAAGCGUUAAUCGGAAUUACUGGGCGUAAAGCGCACGCAGGCGGUUUGUUAAGUCAGAUGUGAAAUCCCCGGGCUCAACCUGGGAACUGCAUCUGAU
RNAcentral lists this ribosomal RNA (643 nucleotides) under Escherichia coli. RNAcentral describes it as "bacterial SSU rRNA". It matches the Rfam family "Bacterial small subunit ribosomal RNA", at positions 1 to 631 of the family's 1533-position model. Lineage: Bacteria; Pseudomonadati; Pseudomonadota; Gammaproteobacteria; Enterobacterales; Enterobacteriaceae. The record is from RNAcentral.